RNAcentral lists this transfer RNA (79 nucleotides) under Salmonella enterica subsp. enterica serovar Derby. RNAcentral describes it as "tRNA-Asp". It matches the Rfam family "tRNA". From Rfam's summary of the family: Transfer RNA (tRNA) molecules are approximately 80 nucleotides in length. Their secondary structure includes four short double-helical elements and three loops (D, anti-codon, and T loops). Lineage: Bacteria; Pseudomonadati; Pseudomonadota; Gammaproteobacteria; Enterobacterales; Enterobacteriaceae. The record is from RNAcentral.
GGAGCGGUAGUUCAGUUGGUUAGAAUACCUGCCUGUCACGCAGGGGGUCGCGGGUUCGAGUCCCCUGCACGUUUCUCAA